UUCUGCAAAGCGCAGCAUUUCAGUGGACUGUCGGAAGCUCAUACCGAACGGACGUGUUUUGGGUUGGCUGCAGCCGAUCGUAUUGAAACGUCGCGAAGGGUAGGCUUAGUUCGAACUGUUUCCGCGUAAAAUAAUCCGUAGCCGUGAUUUUAUUUCGUUGCCGAAGUGUAAACCGCGGGAGUAAGCGGAUUCCAAUUUUUUCUGGGAUUGUUUGAUCGUCUUAACCGCAAAAUGAAUUGGAUUAACUCUCUCAGUUGCUACACGCUGUUGGUCGUCGGAUCUUCAUUGUUUCGCGCAUAUACCUGCGUACAUAUCACCAAUCUCGAAGUGCCAAGAACAUACAUACUCGAGCGGGAUGAAUUUCUCACUGCCUUUUCGUCCGAACACCGCCGCCAACACGAGCACUUUCAGGAUGAGCCGAACGGGUCAGCCGUCGUGACGGAGCCAACUUCAGGGACCAAUUUUACCGCAAGCAAUGAUAGUCAGACAAAUUAUAAUACCUCCACAGUGAAACCACUGAUAAUGGACUGCCAGUAUGAGAUUAAGGCUAAUGAGUGCGGCUUUGUGCUCAAGUGGUAUUUCAACCGGAAGCUGAUCUACCAGUGGAUACCGGCGCGUAACCCCGUAGGAAUGAACCAAUUCAAAAGCGAACUGCGUACCAACUACUCGAUGUCUGAAUCAGCUAACUACAAGUACCGUGCAUUGGUGAUACAGCAUCCAAAACUGAACCACAGUGGAGAAUACAUGUGUUCGGUGCAAACCUACGAGUCAUUCGAUCGGAAGGCAGCCCGUUUCCAAAUCGUCGUACCGGAGAAGAUGCUGCUGCUCCAUUACGAAAACGAUGCCGAGAAGGAGAACAUGCUGCUGAUCAAGUGUAGCGUUUUCAUGAUUUAUCCAGAACCUAAUCUGGUGCUUGUGGUAAGCGGAGACUUGCUGCUGGUAAGCUCCCGUACCAUAGUAGUAUCGGAUCGGCAUCACAUGUACAACAAAACGGUGUACGGACUUAUUGACAAGCAUCUACUCAUUUCGCCCACCUCCAUCGGAUGCAUUCUAACCGUGGCCGGUUCCAGCUAUGUGCGGAAGCGCGAAACAAUCUAUUACGCUUUUCUUGUGCAGAUUUCACCCAGCUGACAAAAUGGAGCCGAUUGAGGAUGGAUGAGCGGGGUCACUUUGAAAUUAGCGACUGCUCUGGUCAACUGAUUGUGCCAUCCACCGUGACAGUAGUUGUGUUAUAUUUGAUCUCUAUGGGACAAUUUUAUCUGUGAUUUUCAAAAUAGAAUUAAACAUUUUACCGAUGAAC
RNA transcript from Toxorhynchites rutilus septentrionalis, 1300 nucleotides. RefSeq lists it as uncharacterized. The record is from RefSeq and is a predicted model, not a curated record. Lineage: Eukaryota; Metazoa; Arthropoda; Insecta; Diptera; Culicidae. The transcript is spliced from 7 exons.